RNAcentral lists this ribosomal RNA (551 nucleotides) under Yersinia pseudotuberculosis. Its description in RNAcentral is "bacterial LSU rRNA". It matches the Rfam family "Bacterial large subunit ribosomal RNA", at positions 2398 to 2925 of the family's 2925-position model. The record is from RNAcentral. Lineage: Bacteria; Pseudomonadati; Pseudomonadota; Gammaproteobacteria; Enterobacterales; Yersiniaceae.
UACGAAAGUAGGUCUUAGUGAUCCGGUGGUUCUGAAUGGAAGGGCCAUCGCUCAACGGAUAAAAGGUACUCCGGGGAUAACAGGCUGAUACCGCCCAAGAGUUCAUAUCGACGGCGGUGUUUGGCACCUCGAUGUCGGCUCAUCACAUCCUGGGGCUGAAGUAGGUCCCAAGGGUAUGGCUGUUCGCCAUUUAAAGUGGUACGCGAGCUGGGUUUAGAACGUCGUGAGACAGUUCGGUCCCUAUCUGCCGUGGGCGUUGGAAGAUUGAGAGGGGCUGCUCCUAGUACGAGAGGACCGGAGUGGACGAAUCACUGGUGUUCGGGUUGUCAUGCCAAUGGCAUUGCCCGGUAGCUAAAUUCGGAAGAGAUAACCGCUGAAAGCAUCUAAGCGGGAAACUUGCCUCGAGAUGAGUCUUCCCUGGGACUUAAAGUCCCCUGAAGGAACGUUAAAGACUAUGACGUUGAUAGGCUGGGUGUGUAAGUGCAGCGAUGUAUUGAGCUAACCAGUACUAAUGAUCCGUGAGGCUUAACCUUACAACACCGAAGGUGUUU